GUGAGGAAUUUUCCGCAAUGGGCGAAAGCCUGACGGAGCAAUGCCGCGUGAAGGAUGAAGGCCUAUGGGUUGUAAACUUCUUUUCUUAGAGAAGAAUAUUGACGGUAUCUGAGGAAUAAGCAUCGGCUAACUCUGUGCCAGCAGCCGCGGUAAGACAGAGGAUGCAAGCGUUAUCCGGAAUGAUUGGGCGUAAAGCGUCUGUAGGUGGUUUCAAAAGUCUCCUGUCAAAGAUCAGGGCUUAACCCUGGGCCGGCAGGAGAAACUCUGAGGCUAGAGUUUGGUAGGGGCAGAGGGAAUUCCCGGUGGAGCGGUGAAAUGUGUAGAGAUCGGGAGGAACACCAAAGGCGAAAGCACUCUGCUGGGCCACAACUGACACUGAGAGACGAAAGCGAGGGGAGCAAAAGGGAUUAGAUACCCGAGUAGUCC
Molecule: ribosomal RNA, 426 nt
Filed under: uncultured bacterium
Lineage: Bacteria
Description: partial 16S ribosomal RNA
Rfam family: Bacterial small subunit ribosomal RNA
Source: RNAcentral